This 2499-nucleotide long non-coding RNA is filed under the name Canis lupus familiaris (dog). Its description in RNAcentral is "lncRNA (ENSCAFG00000037415.3, ENSCAFG00805023008.1, ENSCAFG00845022009.1)". Lineage: Eukaryota; Metazoa; Chordata; Mammalia; Carnivora; Canidae. The record is from RNAcentral.
UGAGAGACUCAGAGAGAGAGGCAAGACACAGGCAGAGGGAGAAGCAGGCUCCCCACAGGGAGCCCGAUGAGGACUUGGUCCCAGGACUCCGGGAUCACAACCUGAGCCAAAGGCAGACGCUCAACCACUGAGCCACACAGGCGCCCAUAUCAACCGUGCUCCUCACAGAGUACGACACAUAAGCUGCCUAGGCUAUCACAAGGCAUGGACCAAGUCCCUGCCCCUGCAGAGCUUCCCACUGAGCUGAGCAGAUGGACAAACAGGUUAACUGUCACCCACUGUACCAAAUCCUGUGGCUGAAGCCUGGACGCCCAAGCAGGGAGCGGUUCAUGCUGGACAGUCCUGUGCUUAAUCCUACUUGCAAUUCUUUUAGUAAGAAAAACCACAGCUUGCAAAUUUCUCAUUUAUAAUGCAUUCAGGUCGAGAAACCACCACUACCACCACCAUGCCAAGACCUUGAAGAAAAGCAUCCUGUGGGCAUCCACCGCAAUGAGGCCUGCCAGGACUCCAGGUCUAUCUCCCUGACGGGGCUGCAGAAGCAGAGGUCUGUGGCAGCUGCAAGUCACAGUGGGUUAAAGACAGAACGUAAUAAACCAUUCAUUGAGUCCUGAGUGAUUUUAUGUACAUUGUCUCAUUUAUGUCUUUCAGAUAUUAGUAUACUCCAAUUUCUAGGAUACAAACUCAGGCAGAUUAAGUAAAAAGGCUGGAGAGAAAUCAGGAUGGGCCCAGGCACUCCUGGCAGGGAACCGCACCACAAACCAGCCAGCAGGGACAGUAUCUGAGGAGGAGGUUCUCUCGCUUUCAGAAUACAAUGGAUUUUAAAUAAACACCUUCUCUGGUGUUUCCUACUAAACUUCCAGAGGAAGCUAUGGGGUGUGCUACCUAAAAGUCUCAGGUCUGUGGCAUCCCUUGAGAAUCCGUAUGUGUAAAAUGUGGUGACAAUGGCCUGCUGGGGGUACUCAAUGAAGCAAUGCCUCUGCCAGCACCCAAACAUUCCAACAUGCCAGCAAAUAUAAAUGACCAUGGGCAGUAGCAUUACUGCCAGGACUCUGUGAGUAGCCUAGGGGAAAGGCACUGUAGAGAAGGACACAGCAAACACACACCUAAACCUGUUUACUCCUCAAAAACAGAGAGAGCAUGGAAUACCAAAGAUGGGGGAAUAUUCCAGUCAACAGCUGGUACGUACAGGCGAGGUGGCUAAAAGACUCCAUUACCACCUGCACUAUCUGGUGGAGCUCACCAUCUCCUUGUACUCACCCAUGGCCUCAGGUAAGAACACCUAGAGAAAAAGAGGGAAAUACAGGAAAAUCCAACGAAGAGUAAAAACUGAGAAUCCCGAGCUCCAGUGACAUCUGAGUGACAGCUGAAGACAUAACUCCAGUUCUGCCCAGAAGCUGCUUUGAGUUGGGGGACCCAUCCCCAACACCCACAGCUGGGAGGUCACAUCUCGCCUGGGAAGAGACUGGGGAGUUGCUCCCACACUUCCCUGCUCCCAGCCAGGAUGUCUUCCAUCCCCAGGGCUCCUGAAACCAAAGUGGUGUGGGACAAAAGGCCAGACUCUGCUUAGAAGACACUGGGUAUGGGGCACCUGGAUGGAUCAGUGGUUGAGCAUCUGCCUUUGGCUCAGGUUGUGACCCCGGGGUCCUGGGAUCGAGUCUUGCAUUGGCUCCCUGUGGGGAGCCUGCUUCUCUCUCUGCUAGGUCUCUACCUCUCUCUAUGUCUCUCAUUAAUAAAUAAAACCUUAAAAAAAAUUCCCAUCCUAGAAACUGCCCGACAACCCCUAGUUCACCUAGCACUUUCCCCCACAUCUUGACAUGUCAACAUCUACAAUCGUGGAAGGCAAGCAGAACAAGCCCUUUUACCACCCACUUAGAAAUGAGGACACUGAGGACAAAGCACGUUGACCACACGGUGACAUAAGCACAAAAGCACAGACCUUUGAACUCCAAGCGCAGACUAGAUGAAGCCAGGUAUCUGAGCUCCAAGCCACUGCUCUUUCCAGGGCACCCCUCUCUGAGAACCUUCUGGAAAAGUCUAACACCCAACCCUACCCAACACAGUAGCCCACACGCUUCAACCUUCAUCAGCCCUCAUGUCCAUCAACAGGUGGCCCCCUGCGUCAACCACAUGUACACCGAGCCAGGCUCAUCAGCCACCUCCAUGACAAAUAGAGACCUAACCCUAGGACUUCCAGAGGAGAGACACACAUGAACAGGCUGGUUUUCUGCAAAUAUGCAGUAAGUGUGGGGCAGGGUAAGUAACCAUAGGUCCCCAACAACCACUAACCAGAAAUCCCAGAGCUCUGAUUUUCAGGGUCCUGGGUUCAAAUCCUGUCUCUGGAACUACUUAAUCUCUGUGACCCGAGGCAAGCAACUUUGUUUUCCUAGUUUUAGCUUCCUUGUUUAUAAAAUUGAUGAACUUAAAAAAGAGAGAGAGAGACAGAUCCCACAGUGAAUGUACUUAAUGCCACAGAACUAUAUAUUUAAAAGUGGUCAGAAA